RNAcentral lists this ribosomal RNA (301 nucleotides) under uncultured bacterium. Its description in RNAcentral is "partial 16S ribosomal RNA". It matches the Rfam family "Bacterial small subunit ribosomal RNA", at positions 509 to 807 of the family's 1533-position model. The record is from RNAcentral.
CAGUAGCCGCGGUAAAACGUAGGGCGCAAGCGUUAUCCGGAAUUAUUGGGCGUAAAGAGCUCGUAGGCGGUUUGUCGCGUCUGCCGUGAAAGUCCGGGGCUCAACCCCGGAUCUGCGGUGGGUACGGGCAGACUAGAGUGAUGUAGGGGAGACUGGAAUUCCUGGUGUAGCGGUGAAAUGCGCAUAUAUCAGGAGGAACACCGACGGCGAAGGCAGGUCUCUGGGCAUUAACUGACGCUGAGGAGCGAAAGCAUGGGGAGCGAACAGGAUUAGAUACCCCGGUAGUCCCUGUCUCUUAUAC